CGGGUUAGAGUCAGAUUGGUUACGACGUUCCAUUUGGGGUGGAAUUUUUCUGUGUUCGAGUCACAGUAACCCGA
Molecule: transfer RNA, 74 nt
Filed under: Thermochaetoides thermophila DSM 1495
Lineage: Eukaryota; Fungi; Ascomycota; Sordariomycetes; Sordariales; Chaetomiaceae
Description: Chaetomium thermophilum var. thermophilum DSM 1495 tRNA-Pro
Source: RNAcentral